This 346-nucleotide ribosomal RNA is filed under the name uncultured eukaryote. RNAcentral describes it as "SSU rRNA". It matches the Rfam family "Eukaryotic small subunit ribosomal RNA", at positions 594 to 945 of the family's 1831-position model. The record is from RNAcentral.
AUAGCGUAUAUUAAAGUUGUUGCAGUUAAAAAGCUCGUAGUUGAACUUCAGACCUGGCUGGGCGGUCGGCUUAUCGGCUAGUACUGUCCGGCUGGGCCUUACUUCUUGGUGAGCUGGUGUGCCCUUUAUUGGGUGCGUCGGUGAACCAGGACCUUUACCUUGAGAAAAUUAGAGUGUUCAAAGCAGGCCUAUGCCCGAAUACAUUAGCAUGGAAUAAUAAAAUAGGACGUGCGGUUCUAUUUUGUUGGUUUCUAGAGUCGCCGUAAUGAUUAAUAGGGAUAGUUGGGGGCAUUGGUAUUGAGUCGCUAGAGGUGAAAUUCUUGGAUUGACUCAAGACCAACUAUUG